AGUUUGAUCAGUGGCUCGAGGACGAACGCUGGCGGCGUGCUUAACACAUGCAAGUCGAACGGUAAGGCCCUUCGGGGUACACGAGUGGCGAACGGGUGAGUAACACGUGGGUGGUCUGCCCUGCACUUCGGGAUAAGCCUGGGAAACUGGGUCUAAUACCGGAUAGGACUCCUGGCUUCAUGGUUGGGGGUGUAAAGCUUUUGCGGCGUGGGAUGGGCCCGCGGCCUAUCUGCUUGUUGGUGGGGUAAUGGCCUACCAAGGCGACGACGGGUAGCCGGCCUGAGAGGGUGACCGGCCACACUGGGACUGAGAUACGGCCCAGACUCCUACGGGAGGCAGCAGUGGGGAAUAUUGCACAAUGGGCGCAAGCCUGAUGCAGCGACGCCGCGUGAGGGAUGACGGCCUUCGGGUUGUAAACCUCUUUCAAUAGGGACGAAGCGCAAGUGACGGUACCUAUAGAAGAAGGACCGGCCAACUACGUG
RNAcentral lists this ribosomal RNA (482 nucleotides) under uncultured bacterium. RNAcentral's name for it is "bacterial SSU rRNA". It matches the Rfam family "Bacterial small subunit ribosomal RNA", at positions 10 to 507 of the family's 1533-position model. The record is from RNAcentral.